AGACCGAUAGCGAACAAGUAGAGUGAUCGAAAGAUGAAAAGCACUUUGAAAAGAGGGUUAAAUAGCACGUGAAAUUGUUGAAAGGGAAGGAUUUAUGACCAGACUUUUUCUAGGGGGAUCAUCCGGUGUUCUCACCGGUGCACUUCCCCUAGUUGAGGCCAGCAUCGGUUUCUGUCGAGGGAUAAAAGCUUUAGGAAUGUGGCUCCCUCCGGGGAGUGUUAUAGCCUGUUGCAUAAUACCUUGACGGGGACCGAGGUUCGCGCAUUGCAAGGAUGCUGGCGUAAUGGUUAUUAAUCACCCGUCUUGAAACACGGACCAAG
This 320-nucleotide ribosomal RNA is filed under the name Arthrinium phaeospermum. RNAcentral's name for it is "eukaryotic LSU rRNA". It matches the Rfam family "Eukaryotic large subunit ribosomal RNA", at positions 331 to 670 of the family's 3401-position model. Lineage: Eukaryota; Fungi; Ascomycota; Sordariomycetes; Amphisphaeriales; Apiosporaceae. The record is from RNAcentral. RNAcentral also lists the same sequence under 1 other name.